RNAcentral lists this ribosomal RNA (465 nucleotides) under uncultured Klebsiella sp. RNAcentral describes it as "bacterial SSU rRNA". It matches the Rfam family "Bacterial small subunit ribosomal RNA", at positions 338 to 795 of the family's 1533-position model. Lineage: Bacteria; Pseudomonadati; Pseudomonadota; Gammaproteobacteria; Enterobacterales; Enterobacteriaceae. The record is from RNAcentral.
CCUACGGGAGGCUGCAGUGGGGAAUAUUGCACAAUGGGCGCAAGCCUGAUGCAGCCAUGCCGCGUGUGUGAAGAAGGCCUUCGGGUUGUAAAGCACUUUCAGCGGGGAGGAAGGCGUUAAGGUUAAUAACCUUGUCGAUUGACGUUACCCGCAGAAGAAGCACCGGCUAACUCCGUGCCAGCAGCCGCGGUAAUACGGAGGGUGCAAGCGUUAAUCGGAAUUACUGGGCGUAAAGCGCACGCAGGCGGUCUGUCAAGUCGGAUGUGAAAUCCCCGGGCUCAACCUGGGAACUGCAUUCGAAACUGGCAGGCUAGAGUCUUGUAGAGGGGGGUAGAAUUCCAGGUGUAGUGGUGAAAUGCGUAGAGAUCUGGAGGAAUACCGGUGGCGAAGGCGGCCCCCUGGAGAAAGACUGACGCUCAGGUGCGAAAGCGUGGGGAGCAAACAGGAUUAGAUACCCCGGUAGUC